RNAcentral lists this ribosomal RNA (253 nucleotides) under uncultured bacterium. Its description in RNAcentral is "partial 16S ribosomal RNA". It matches the Rfam family "Bacterial small subunit ribosomal RNA", at positions 524 to 776 of the family's 1533-position model. The record is from RNAcentral.
UACAGAGGGUGCAAGCGUUAUUCGGAAUUACUGGGCGUAAAGUGCGCGUAGGCUGUCUCGUAAGUUAGCUGUGAAAUCCCUCGGCUCAACCGGGGAACUGCAGCUAAUACUGCGGGGCUGGAGCGCGGGAGAGGGGAACGGAAUUCCUGGUGUAGAGGUGAAAUUCGUAGAUAUCAGGAGGAACAACAGUAGCGAAGGCGGUUCCCUAGACCGUUGCUGACGCUGAGGCGCGAAAGCGUGGGGAGCAAACAGG